GUAAGCCGUAUGAGCGAAAAGUUCACGUACGGUUUGAUGAAGGGGGCACUGAUAGUUCUAGAAUAUUUAUAUCUUUAACAGAUACAAAUAGGAGUAGGACUAUCAGGCUCUACUCUAC
RNAcentral lists this non-coding RNA (118 nucleotides) under Aquimarina intermedia. The record is from RNAcentral. Lineage: Bacteria; Pseudomonadati; Bacteroidota; Flavobacteriia; Flavobacteriales; Flavobacteriaceae.